CGCUCUGCUGGGGAGUCUGGAGACAUGGGUGCUAAUGGGGGACCAGGGGAGGAAUGGCUCCUUGAAGUUCCCAUCCGGGCCCAGCUCUGAGAGUCUUCCAAGUUUCCAGUGAGUCGUAGCAGCCCGGAGCAGAGCAGCUGCUGGGGAUUACUCAGCCAGACGCACUGCUGUUCUCAGCCCGCUGGCGCGGCUCCAAGGUCAAGCUGGACAGAACUGGACACAAAGCAGAGCAAACCCUUUGCAAGCCCUGAAUGAUUGUGCACAUCACAUGGUACCAGGAGGAAACGGACUAAGAAAAUACCCCGACUGGAAGACCAUUGCAAUGAAGAGCCUCACCAGAGCCUGAACUCCCAGGCAUUUUGGAAAACAGUUGGAAGGAAGCCAAGCAGUGCUAGAGUAUGUGCUUCUGGCCUUUUGGCUCAGAUCAAGUGUCUUGUGGACUAAGAUCAAGUGAUAGUAUCUGAAUCCCAAGGCCUCCAGGCUUAGGCCUGCAUAUAAGAUGACUGCCAAUGGAUUUGGGAGUAUCUGAAGUCCCAGGGGGAGAGCCUGGGAUGAAGGAUACUCACUAACUGUAGCACCAUACAUGGUAUUUAGAAAGGGUUUUGGAACGAUUGAGUUCUGCUCAAUUGAUAUGAUUUGGAAUUGAUUUGGUUGACUUGACCCGGAACAUGGAAUAUAUAUUUUUAAAAACGUGGAAGCAAUGAGUACCAGUUCAAAGGCAGGCAGAUGUGCUUAAUGGUUCUCCGGUCACUUGGGCAGAGGAGGCUAACAAUGCUGAAUGGAACUGGAGGAGUGCUACCAUCCCCAUGGGAAUGAACCAUGUGAAAGAGGAUUUGAAGUACAGGGCAUAGAAAACAGGUGAAACCCUAGAAGAGUCAGCAACUGGCUAAAGAGCCAAUCCUGCAAUUCUGUGGGGAGUAACUUGAUCCCUGAUUAAAAAGCAAAAACAAAUCUCUGUUAGGAUCCUAAACAAAACACGCUGGGUUCAGAUACACAUCAUGAUUACUACAGAGUCAUGUAUCUGGCUUUUUACUCAGUUCCAAGCAGCGGGCAGGUGACAUGAGAGCAGUUCUGUCAAACUGGCUGUGGCAGCAGGUGAUAUUACAGGGCCUGGCCACUAGGUACACCAGGUUUGCAGGCAGCAAACAUCUGGCCUGUGAUGAUGACAUUGUCCAGAGCAGCAUCGCCCAACCAACUGGCCCUGAAGAUUGGACGAAGGGUAUGGGGCUGCAGGCCGGAUCCUAUGUGCGGGGUCGGUCCGUGGGUCUGAUCUAGCAUGUGGUCUGCUGUGGGGUCAACCUCUCAUGCUGGCCCAGCUCUGUGCUGGAUUCAGCCAUGGGCCAACCUCAUGCUGGCAUGAUCCGGUGUGAUGGACCGUGUCAUCCAGCCUGCGGGGCUCCCUGGUAGUUCAGAAAUUUUAAAGUGGCAGAGUGGUGGCAGCUUUAAUUGCCGCAGCUGCCAGAGCAUACAGCAACCUUUUCAGCUGCGGGCUGGAAUGACCCAGUUUGGGUUAGAAAAGGGUGGCAGGCACUUGGACUUGGCCACUGCCGCUGUCACUUUUCCACUCAUUUGCCCGUUACACUUUUACCACAGAGUUUAGUCAUUUUAAUCCAGAAUAAGUGUGUUGUGUCCAAUCAGGGAAAGAUUACUAGAGAAGGAACCCUUGACCAGGCAACUAUAAUUUGCCAAGUCACAGAAGUCACCCGGUCCAAAAAAAGCACCUGGUGGGUAGACAGUGCUCCAACACGGUAGACAUGAUCGCGAUCCCAAAAUACUGCAAGAGAGACCUGAGACAGAAACAUAUGUGUAUCUCCAAGUCCAAGUCAAACAACAGCAGCACAUAAAACUACACACACUGCAGACACCAACUCAGGCCAAGAUAUUGCCCGACAUCUGGGAAAAGUUGCAAGAACAUCAAUGGAUUAUAUAAUUUUGCAGGGUUUGCAAGCACCUAAAGAGUGUGCUCAGCAUAUAAAAGACAACAGCUCCACUAGCCCAAACAAACUCUUCAUAGCAGCAGAAGGCAAAGCUACAAUUGAGUCAAUCCAAGAACAAAUGAGAUGUUUAUUCAUUUUAAGGUGGGCUCUGUUGGAGCAGCCAAUGUGGUACCAGUGUCAGUGACACUAAAAGGAAAAGCUUGGGUAGUAGAAAGUGAAUGGCUACAACUUGGGAUUUACGCCCUCAGUGUGAAUUAGCUCAGCAUGGUAUGAGAAUUCAACAUGCAGAUGAACGUAAGUUGCAGGAGAUACAGUGUGUAAUUCUACCAGGGAAAAGAGCACCUAAAAUUGAGUAAAAACCAGACCACGCUUAAAUGGGGCAGGAGAUGAAAAAAAUUAAAGAAGAAUUUAAGAGCGUCUUCCCUGGAAAAAGAACACAGGACUGGAAGGGGCUUCCUGGGCCUCUGUGCCCAUGCUCUGCAGGCAACAUUUUGUCCAAAGGGUCUACAAAACCAUCUGGUCUCAUCCCUCCCACACACCACAGCCACACAGUCCCUAAAGGAAAGGGAGAAAUGCACCAAAUGCCACAGUUACAGAGCAGAGGAGACAAGACCAUUUGACCUGCCACCGCAAUGGCAGACAAUUUGUCAGAGUAAGAUGUGGUCAGCAGAUCAGAGAAGAGGAAAAUUCCCAGAGUAGAGAACAAAGACAAAAGAGACUGACUGUGCCACAAUUCCUAACCCUGCAAAAGCUCCCUUUGCACUAAAGCAGAUGCUAAAGAGAGGAGCAGAACUGGCUUUGCUGCUCUGGGAAUCAUACUGCAAGUAAAGAAACUAGCAGAGUGGGCAGGUGCCCCCAUAUUGCAAAGAAACAACCUCUUGCUUAUGUAUGAACCCAAAAGUAUUAAAUAAAUAUAUAAAAGGGGAACAUUUUCCACUACCUAAAAUGAGGAAAAAUAUUGAUGGACUUGUUAUGUUAUAAAAGUUUUUAUGCUGGCAUUGCCAUUGAGAUGAUAGCAGGUGCUUUUCUACCUACAGAGGACAGGUUUAUGCAUAUUCCAAAACUGCCAUUUGGGUGUGCUAUGUGCCUGAGCUAUUUCAACUGGGAGAGAGAGUGCUGAGGUUUACAGUGUCAUUUCAAUUUGGGGAGAAACAGUAGAAGAGUAUGACCAGAGGUUCUGAACAAUCUGAGCUACACAAAUGCAAAUAUAAACUUUGUGCUAAGGAAUGGUCAUACCUGCAAGAGAGGGAUUAGCACAAUGUGUAUAGAGGAAUCACACUAAGGUUGAAGCCAUCACUGACCUGCCUGUCCCACCAAACCAGGAAGGCAUCUAGAUUCCUGUGAACAGUGAACCAGGUAGGGAAAUCUGACUUUAUUUAGCUGUCUGACUUGGCACACUGAGAUCAUCACUGGGCAAAGGUGUCCAAAAGACGUGGGAUGCAAAUCGUUGUAAUGAGAUUGAGACACUUAAAAAGUGAGAUAAUGAGGCCAUAGCGUGGAGAUACCGUCACUGGAAAAGUAAAAGCAAGUUGUCUUCACAUGCCUUCAAGGCAAGUAAUGGCACAGUCCCCUUACUGUUGUGUGGUCAGAAAUGGAGAGCAGUGGCUUAGGUGCUAACACAGUAUGUCAAUACAGUCAUGCUGAAGGCAGCUUUGACAUUAAUUUAUGGAGGGGAAAAAAGUUCAUGUCUUUAGUUAUGGGAGGGCCAAAUGCACUACACACAAAAUAAUUGCAAUGCUAGAGGAAACUGUUAAGGCCUGUUUCACAAGCCAAAAAUAUAGGCCCUGUCACAGGGAAAACCCAUGUUUGUGGAAUAGGAAAAACUGGCCACACUGGAACAAAAUAGGCAUAGAUUUGUUCACAUCAUUUGAAAGAAAAUCUAUUUGUCCAAGUGUUAUCCUCCCUUCCCUGAGAUAGCCCUACUUCUGCUAGAAGAUGCUACAGCUAACCAAGCGAUUGUACAUGUGAAGACCAUGCUAGAUGUAGUAUCCUUGGCACAGUACUGUCUGACAAUGGGCCAUAGUUUGGUGGGCAUGAACAUAAGUUGCUUGCAGAGAUGCCUGAGCUUGGCCAUGUUAUCACUAGUCCUCAUUACCCCCAACCCAACAGACUGACGGAAAGCAGUACAGUAACAAUCAAAUGCCUACUACUCCAAUGGAUUUCAGAGUCAGACUGAUCUUAUUUAGCACUGUUAAAUUACAGGCUAACACUAACAAGGCUGGGGUUGUUCUUCAGGUGAUGUUUCUCCAACAAACACCUGAAAUCACCAAAGACUGGCAGAGGUAUAAAGAGAGACAAAGCAAACCUGAUGCUAUAUCAUCCGGGAUGUAAGAGAUGCCACCAACUUAUGAAAACAAGACAAUACAUAUCUACGAUGGGAAAUGGUAGUCACAAAGAGAGUGCCCUGUGCACUCUGGCUGGUGGGUUUUUACGUGCUCCAGUCCUGUUUUGGCUUGGAAGGGAAGAUAUGGCACUGGGGACUGCACCUUUAGGGGCCGAGCUUCCCCAAGGAGCUAGAGGGGUUAUGUACAGCCAGAUGGAACCAGAUGCAGAAUAAAGCAUGGAGUGAUCACUGCACGACACUUUGGGCAGCCCAGAAGAGCAACCCCCACCCAGCCCUGAGCUCUAUUUACCCCUGGCCAAAUAGGCUGAAGAACAGUAUUCUCUGGUCACCACAUGCCUUUCCAUCCCAAAGUCCUUUCCUUUCUGAGUUUGGCAGAGCUUGGGAUAGAGAGGCUGUAAGUCCUAAAGCAGGGAGUGAUUUUUUUCCAACACUGCUACCUGGGACCUCUUGAUAGUACAUUGACAAUAUUUUAUAGAAGCAGGAUAUUAACUGCUGUGGUUCCCCUGCUUUCCCUGUGGCAGGUUAGGGUGUUAGGGUUGAGGAUAGUCUUAUGUAGAGUUUAGAUUAUGUUUGUAUGGGAUGUUGUGGAUAGGGAUGACCCUGCCUCAGGCAGGGGGUUGGACCAAAUGACCUCUGAGGUCCCUCCAAGCCCUACUUCUCUAUGACUCUAAGUGCCUUUCGAAGCAGAGCCCAAUUUGACCCAGUCAUGGCAAGCAAGAGCGCUGCAGUGCAUGCCAGGGAGGAAGCGGACGACAGUGUGCUGGAGCAUGCAUGGGGCAGGGAUGAUGGAACUUGCUCCCAAGAGGGCCUGAGACUAGUCAGUGCACCGUGAUUAAAGACCAAUUUGGGAUGUGAA
Molecule: long non-coding RNA, 5137 nt
Organism: Alligator mississippiensis (American alligator)
Lineage: Eukaryota; Metazoa; Chordata; Crocodylia; Alligatoridae
Exons: 2
Source: RefSeq, a predicted model, not a curated record